UACAGAGGGGGCAAGCGUUGUUCGGAAUUACUGGGCGUAAAGGGCGCGUAGGCGGCCUUCUAAGUCGAACGUGAAAUCCCUGGGCUCAACCCAGGAACUGCGUCCGAUACUGGAAGGCUUGAAUCCGGAAGAGGGAUGCGGAAUUCCAGGUGUAGCGGUGAAAUGCGUAGAUAUCUGGAGGAACACCGGUGGCGAAGGCGGCAUCCUGGACCGGUAUUGACGCUGAGGCGCGAAAGCCAGGGGAGCAAACGGG
RNAcentral lists this ribosomal RNA (253 nucleotides) under uncultured bacterium. RNAcentral describes it as "partial 16S ribosomal RNA". It matches the Rfam family "Bacterial small subunit ribosomal RNA", at positions 524 to 776 of the family's 1533-position model. The record is from RNAcentral.